Molecule: ribosomal RNA, 272 nt
Filed under: uncultured prokaryote
Description: partial 16S ribosomal RNA
Rfam family: Bacterial small subunit ribosomal RNA
Source: RNAcentral
UACGUAGGGUGCGAGCGUUAAUCGGAAUUACUGGGCGUAAAGCGUGCGCAGGCGGUCUUGUAAGCCAGAUGUGAAAUCCCCGGGCUUAACCUGGGAACUGCAUUUGGGACUGCAAGGCUGGAGUACGGCAGAGGGAGGUGGAAUUCCACGUGUAGCAGUGAAAUGCGUAGAGAUGUGGAGGAACACCGAUGGCGAAGGCAGCCUCCUGGGCUAGUACUGACGCUCAUGCACGAAAGCGUGGGGAGCAAACAGGAUUAGAUACCCUGUAGUCC